UGGGGUUUGAGCUCUCCAUUCUUCUCCUGUGAAGGCAGGUGAUACUGUAAUGAGUUAUUUGUUAAUUGGCCUAAUUAAGAAUAGAUUGUAGCCAGACAUAGAGUUUAUGAAGUGAUGUGAGAUUUCUAAAGGUCACUUUAAGAUUGCCAUGGAUUCUGAGUAGUCAGAGGAAGAGAAUUUUCCAGAGUGCCUUAGGAAAGGCAGUUGGAAAUAACGAUGCCACUUCUGGGAGAGAGACUCAGAGGAAAGUAGAUCCUGCUCUCUCACCUCCUGCUUGGGAGACUUCAGAGCCAAGUCCUGAAAGAACACAACUGGGGUGUGCCUCUGCUUUUUCCAGGUUUGACCUGGCUAGAACACAGUCCUGCAGGGGUGGAGGGGAUAUGAUCGAGGAGAGACUGAAUGAACACCCUACUACGGAAACCAACAGCAAGGAAAUGGGCUCCGGUUGAGGACGCAUGUGACACCCAGAGGAAUCACACAUUCCCAAUGGGAGGGGUGUGGGGGAGGGGGAGAAAAAAAAGUGAUCUUUGUUUCUAAUGAAUAAUGUUUGAAAAUGACCAAAUAAAAUAAUGUUUAAAAUUAAAAAAAAAAACUAG
RNAcentral lists this long non-coding RNA (596 nucleotides) under Monodelphis domestica (gray short-tailed opossum). RNAcentral's name for it is "lncRNA (ENSMODG00000048528.1)". Lineage: Eukaryota; Metazoa; Chordata; Mammalia; Didelphimorphia; Didelphidae. The record is from RNAcentral.